CUCCUACUGCCCUCUCAUGGGACCUCUCUCUUCUUGUGCAUGUGCAGUAUCAGGGUAUUACAAUAGGAGGGCCUGAUGUAGGACUAAGCUGGACUACAGUAUCUUUGCCCCAUGAUAUGUGCAAAUAGGAACUUUAGCUUUGUAAAGCUAGAAGUAGGUGAAGGAGCAUUUAUGAAAAAGGAAAGAAAAGAAAAAAAGUGCAUUCCCCCAUACUACCAGAGGAGGAAUCUGAGGAGUGGCCCGACACUCCUGCACUACCAUCAUCGCCUGCUCCAUCAUUUUCCGUGGUGACAUCGGGCUCAUCCUCCCCAACCAGUUCGCUGACCCAUUCACCGGGACCGGCGGACCCUGCUCGUCCCGUGCUACUCCAGAGAAUCCGCCAGUUGCUGUCGAUAGCAAAUAGAUUAUUUGAUCGAAUUUUGGAUAAUUUUUAAA
Pseudophryne corroboree (corroboree frog) is the source of this 435-nucleotide long non-coding RNA. RefSeq lists it as uncharacterized. The record is from RefSeq and is a predicted model, not a curated record. The transcript has 5 exons. NCBI's taxonomy places the organism in Eukaryota, Metazoa, Chordata, Amphibia, Anura, Myobatrachidae.